This 77-nucleotide transfer RNA is filed under the name Ignavibacteria bacterium. Its description in RNAcentral is "tRNA-Ala". It matches the Rfam family "tRNA". From Rfam's summary of the family: Transfer RNA (tRNA) molecules are approximately 80 nucleotides in length. Their secondary structure includes four short double-helical elements and three loops (D, anti-codon, and T loops). Further hydrogen bonds mediate the characteristic L-shaped molecular structure. tRNAs have two regions of fundamental functional importance: the anti-codon, which is responsible for specific mRNA codon recognition, and the 3' end, to which the tRNAs corresponding amino acid is attached (by aminoacyl-tRNA synthetases). tRNAs cope with the degeneracy of the genetic code in two manners: having more than one tRNA (with a specific anti-codon) for a particular amino acid; and 'wobble' base-pairing, i.e. permitting non-standard base-pairing at the 3rd anti-codon position. Lineage: Bacteria; Pseudomonadati; Ignavibacteriota; Ignavibacteria. The record is from RNAcentral.
GGGCCCGUAGCUCAGCUGGUUAGAGCGCUUGCAUGGCAUGCAAGAGGUCGCAGGUUCGAAUCCCGUCGGGUCCACAA